GGCUUAGAGUUUGAUCAUGGCUCAGGAUAAACGCUGGCGGCGCACAUAAGACAUGCAAGUCGAACGAACUUAACCUAUAGUUUACUAUUGGAGCGGUUAGUGGCGGACUGGUGAGUAACGCGUAAGCAAUCUGCCUAUCAGAGGGGAAUAACAGUGAGAAAUCACUGCUAAUACCGCAUAAGCAGUGAGUAUCGCAUGAUACAAGCAGAAAAGGAGCAAUCCGCUGAUAGAUGAGCUUGCGUCUGAUUAGUUAGUUGGCGAGGUAACGGCCCACCAAGACGAUGAUCAGUAGCCGGACUGAGAGGUUGAACGGCCACAUUGGGACUGAGAUACGGCCCAGACUCCUACGGGAGGCAGCAGUCGGGAAUAUUGCGCAAUGGAGGAAACUCUGACGCAGUGACGCCGCGUGCAGGAAGAAGGUUUUCGGAUUGUAAACUGCUUUAGACAGGGAAGAAGAAGUGACAGUACCUGUAGAAUAAGCUCCGGCUAACUACGUGCCAGCAGCCGCGGUAAUACGUAGGGAGCGAGCGUUAUCCGGAUUUAUUGGGUGUAAAGGGUGCGUAGAUGGAUAUGCAAGUUGGUUGUGAAAUACCUCGGCUUAACUGAGGAACUGCAACCAAAACUGUAAAUCUUGAGUACUGGAGGGGAAAGCGGAAUUCCUAGUGUAGCGGUGAGAUGCGUAGAUAUUAGGAAGAACACCGGUGGCGAAAGCGGCUUUCUGGACAGAAACUGACAUUGAGGCACGAAAGUGUGGGGAGCAAACAGGAUUAGAUACCCUGGUAGUCCACACCGUAAACGAUGGAUACUAGGUGUAGGUGAUGAUAGUCAUCUGUGCCGUCGCAAACGCAGUAAGUAUCCCACCUGGGGAGUA
RNAcentral lists this ribosomal RNA (871 nucleotides) under uncultured bacterium. RNAcentral's name for it is "bacterial SSU rRNA". It matches the Rfam family "Bacterial small subunit ribosomal RNA", at positions 1 to 882 of the family's 1533-position model. The record is from RNAcentral.